GGCGGGAAUGCGAUGAGCGAAGUUGCGUGAAAUUUUUCAUUUUGUUAAUUUAGUGCAAUUUUCUGCUUAAGCUUAUAAUAAUGGUGACUUAUUAGCUAUUUAGUAUCCGACAACGAACAGAGGACAAGUUUUUAUGCUGUCGUACGCUGUUUACGGCCCCCAAAAAAAGUGGGAUGGCGUGCUGCUAUUCAUACCCAAAUCAAAACAAAUAAUUGAAUAAAAGAUUUAUACAGGGAUCCUGUGAAUUUACAAAGUAAAAACAUCUAAAGAGCCGAACAUGGAAAUUCCAAUUUUUUUUUAUCUAUUAACAAAAGAAUGCAUUUUCAAGAAAACUAUAAUAAAAUAAUAAUAAUAAAUAAUAAAAAGACUAGAAGGUUUUAGACUCACGGUAAGAAAGUAAUACAAUGUAUUUUGGGUUAAUGCGAUCACUUCAGAAUAAAGACAGUUAAUUAGCGCGAGACAUGAAGUCGUAUUCCCUCCUAUAAGAGAAAAGGGAACAUUUUUCUCAUACAAUAAACACUUUCCAAACUAAAAA
Long non-coding RNA from Bombyx mori (domestic silkworm), 535 nucleotides. RefSeq lists it as uncharacterized. NCBI's taxonomy places the organism in Eukaryota, Metazoa, Arthropoda, Insecta, Lepidoptera, Bombycidae. The record is from RefSeq and is a predicted model, not a curated record. The transcript is spliced from 2 exons.